Molecule: ribosomal RNA, 253 nt
Filed under: uncultured bacterium
Lineage: Bacteria
Description: partial 16S ribosomal RNA
Rfam family: Bacterial small subunit ribosomal RNA
Source: RNAcentral
UACGUAGGGACCAAGCGUUGUUCGGAUUUACUGGGCGUAAAGGGCGCGUAGGCGGCUUGACAAGUCACUUGUGAAAUCUCCGGGCUUAACUCGGAACUGCCAAGUGAAACUGUCAUGCUAGAGUGCAGAAGGGGCAAUCGGAAUUCUUGGUGUAGCGGUGAAAUGCGUAGAUAUCAAGAGGAACACCUGAGGUGAAGACGGGUUGCUGGGCUGACACUGACGCUGAGGCGCGAAAGCCAGGGGAGCAAACGGG